CUUGAGAUUUUAAAAAGUUUUCAGGAACCAUGACAUGAAACUCUGAGUUGACAAGAUGCAGCAUGCUUAUCCUGGUCUCUUUAUAUUUUACCUGGGUUGUACUGUGAACAAUAGCUUUGAGAUAAAUAUCUUUAUAUUUUAACUCUUUUUUGUCUCAGGCUCUUGAUCGUGCUAAGCCUGGUAUGGAGAAUGCAAAGAAUGCUGCUCAAAGUAGAUCAUUCAAACGGCUGAGCCUAAGGGAAGCCAGGACUAAUUCAAACUAAUAAAGGUGUGGUAGCCAGAUAGUAAACAGGACGUGCUCCUACUGGACCCCAAGAAAGACUGUCGUCUAAAGAAUUGCUUUGCCUGGGGGAUUUGUCUGCUGCAAGUGCAAGUGGUUGUAUUUGAGUUUAGUUAUCUAAUUAGGUACAAGAGUUUUUGUGACUAUAUUUUAUUUAUUUGUGUAGAGCUUAAGACUUCAAGAAUUUUGUUUCAAAUCAAAUUCGAAUUGGAGUUGAAAUGAAUCCGGAUGAAAAAGCUA
This is a non-coding RNA of Prunus avium (sweet cherry), 520 nucleotides long. The record is from RefSeq and is a predicted model, not a curated record. Lineage: Eukaryota; Viridiplantae; Streptophyta; Magnoliopsida; Rosales; Rosaceae.